This 748-nucleotide ribosomal RNA is filed under the name uncultured bacterium. Its description in RNAcentral is "bacterial SSU rRNA". It matches the Rfam family "Bacterial small subunit ribosomal RNA", at positions 8 to 796 of the family's 1533-position model. The record is from RNAcentral.
AGAGUUUGAUCCUGGCUCAGGAUGAACGCUGGCGGUAUGCGUAACACAUGCAAGUCGAACGAAGUUUUUCGGAACUUAGUGGCGGACGGGUGAGUAACGCGUGAGAAUCUGCCUUAAGGAUUGGGACAACAGUGGGAAACCGCUGCUAAUACCAAAUAUGCCUUUUAGUGAAACGGGUAAAACCCGCCUUAAGAUGAGCUCGCGUCUGAUUAGCUAGUUGGUGUGGUAAGAGCGCACCAAGGCAACGAUCAGUAGCUGGUCUGAGAGGACGACCAGCCACACUGGGACUGAGACACGGCCCAGACUCCUACGGGAGGCAGCAGUGAGGAAUUUUCCGCAAUGGGCGAAAGCCUGACGGAGCAAUACCGCGUGAGGGAGGAAGGUUCUUGGAUUGUAAACCUCUUUUCUCAGAGAAGAAUAAUGACGGUAUCUGAGGAAUAAGCAUCGGCUAACUCCGUGCCAGCAGCCGCGGUAAUACGGAGGAUGCAAGCGUUAUCCGGAAUGAUUGGGCGUAAAGGGUCUGUAGGUGGUUGUUCAAGUCUGCUGUUAAAGCGUCUGGCUUAACCAGAUAAAGGCGGUGGAAACUGAACGACUAGAGUGCGGUAGGGGUAGAGGGAAUUCCCAGUGUAGCGGUGAAAUGCGUAGAUCUUGGGAAGAACACCUGUGGCGAAAGCGCUCUACUGGACCGCGACUGACACUGAUGGACGAAAGCUAGGGGAGCGAAUGGGAUUAGAUACCCUAGUAGUCC